AUUUGAUGAUGGGGGCACUUAGAAAGUAACCCUUGAAACCUUAUCCAAUAUUCAUAAAAGGAUUCAUCAAAACCUUAUUCAAUCCCACAAAUUUAUUUCCUCAAAUU
Small nucleolar RNA from Prosopis cineraria, 107 nucleotides. The record is from RefSeq and is a predicted model, not a curated record. Lineage: Eukaryota; Viridiplantae; Streptophyta; Magnoliopsida; Fabales; Fabaceae.